This 700-nucleotide ribosomal RNA is filed under the name Klebsiella sp. RNAcentral's name for it is "bacterial SSU rRNA". It matches the Rfam family "Bacterial small subunit ribosomal RNA", at positions 21 to 712 of the family's 1533-position model. Lineage: Bacteria; Pseudomonadati; Pseudomonadota; Gammaproteobacteria; Enterobacterales; Enterobacteriaceae. The record is from RNAcentral.
GGCUCAGAUUGAACGCUGGCGGCAGGCCUAACACAUGCAAGUCGAGCGGUAGCACAGAGAGCUUGCUCUCGGGUGACGAGCGGCGGACGGGUGAGUAAUGUCUGGGAAACUGCCUGAUGGAGGGGGAUAACUACUGGAAACGGUAGCUAAUACCGCAUAAUGUCGCAAGACCAAAGUGGGGGACCUUCGGGCCUCAUGCCAUCAGAUGUGCCCAGAUGGGAUUAGCUAGUAGGUGGGGUAACGGCUCACCUAGGCGACGAUCCCUAGCUGGUCUGAGAGGAUGACCAGCCACACUGGAACUGAGACACGGUCCAGACUCCUACGGGAGGCAGCAGUGGGGAAUAUUGCACAAUGGGCGCAAGCCUGAUGCAGCCAUGCCGCGUGUGUGAAGAAGGCCUUCGGGUUGUAAAGCACUUUCAGCGGGGAGGAAGGCGGUAAGGUUAAUAACCUCGUCGAUUGACGUUACCCGCAGAAGAAGCACCGGCUAACUCCGUGCCAGCAGCCGCGGUAAUACGGAGGGUGCAAGCGUUAAUCGGAAUUACUGGGCGUAAAGCGCACGCAGGCGGUCUGUCAAGUCGGAUGUGAAAUCCCCGGGCUCAACCUGGGAACUGCAUUCGAAACUGGCAGGCUAGAGUCUUGUAGAGGGGGGUAGAAUUCCAGGUGUAGCGGUGAAAUGCGUAGAGAUCUGGAGGAAUACCGG